UGGGGAAUUUUGGACAAUGGGGGCAACCCUGAUCCAGCAAUGCCGCGUGUGUGAAGAAGGCCUUCGGGUUGUAAAGCACUUUUGUCCGGGAAGAAAUCGCACCUGAUAAUACCGGGUGUGGAUGACGGUACCGGAAGAAUAAGGACCGGCUAACUACGUGCCAGCAGCCGCGGUAAUACGUAGGGUCCAAGCGUUAAUCGGAAUUACUGGGCGUAAAGCGUGCGCAGGCGGUUGUGCAAGACCGAUGUGAAAUCCCCGGGCUUAACCUGGGAAUUGCAUUGGUGACUGCACGGCUAGAGUGUGUCAGAGGAAGGUAGAAUUCCACGUGUAGCAGUGAAAUGCGUAGAGAUGUGGAGGAAUACCGAUGGCGAAGGCAGCCCCCUGGGAUAACACUGACGCUCAUGCACGAAAGCGUGGGGAGCAAACAGG
This 429-nucleotide ribosomal RNA is filed under the name Bacillota bacterium. RNAcentral's name for it is "Firmicutes bacterium partial 16S ribosomal RNA". It matches the Rfam family "Bacterial small subunit ribosomal RNA", at positions 355 to 776 of the family's 1533-position model. Lineage: Bacteria; Bacillati; Bacillota. The record is from RNAcentral.